GACUUAUUUUCUUGUAGUCUCUUGGAAAAUAAACUCGGAGUCUACAUACUGCGUAGAAGUCAGAACGCACAGUCAGAGCGGGCUCUGUCCGUGUGGACUGGAGAUCGAGUACGACAUUACAUGGUGUUUCAGGAUGAAAAAGGCUACGCCCUUGAUCCUGAUGGCGUGCGAUGCAAAACAAUUGAGAAGCUAAUAAAACACUUUUACGACUUCACUUUACCAAGAUGUGACGUGAAACUUACAGCGCCUUAUAAAUAGAUUUGAAGGGGACUAAAGGCUGACAUACAAAAAAAGGAUCAUGGAGUAACUAAUCAGAGUCAGCCAAAUCUUUCAUCUGUAAAAUUCAUCACGAUAGUUGUUGGUGUUGCUAAUGAAUCUUGUUGGGUGUUAUCAAACGGGUGAUAUUUUGUCUAGGUUGGACUAUAAUUGUAUACAAAAAUUAUUGCAAAUUCAGUAUUAAACGAUUCGAGGCUUUGAACAAUAACCCCGAACUGUGGGAUGUAUUCCUCAAAGCCUUAUUAUGUUGUCGAUUCCUUUACAUUGCAUUUUAAAAUGAAAUAUUUGGGCAAUUUGCAAUUUGUUGAAUCGUCUUUUGUAAUUUUGCUGAUAUUUGAGGCAGAAUACGUCCUCAACUUACUUUACAUUAAGAUAGAGCCUUAUACUCCCAAAGAAGAGAAGGGAUUGAAGAGAAGUAUUUUCCCUUUGGUGAUGCUUGAAAAAAAAUUUCAUGUCUUCACGAAAUGAAAACGCCCAGUUUUCUUUUUAAUGCCAGAUCUUCUUACUAUUGAGGUAUUGAACGUAUAGAAUUUUUACAAUUUAUGAUCGUUUGUUGUUUUGCAUGGACGGUUUAUGCUACUCAUCGCAGGUGUAUGAUUUUAACUUUAUGUUUUGAAGUUAGACAAAUGUAGAAGAAGGAUUAUGAUAUUCAUAGAAUCUCACAAAGGGGAAGAAAGAUCUGCUGACAAUUUUAGAAAAAAGUUUAUAUAAAUGCAAAACAAGGGACUUUGAUGUCGAGAGAUUUUAUACUAGUGUGUGGGCCGGUCCCACUUUUUCUGCAUAGAAAACGCCAUUGGCAAUUUGGAACCAAUAUGCAGUGCAUGGUGUUAGAAAUAAGACUUUAUGGCCAUAUUUUACCAUGUUCUCGUUAACAUCUUGCUCACUAUGUCGAUAGAAUGAAAGUAAUUUUUAUUGUAUUUCUUUUUAAACUAAAAACUGUACAGUAUAUAGCGAUUAAAUGAAUUUUGCAUUGAUGCAUACGGAUGGUUGAUACCAACUGUUGAUUUACCAUGAAACAAUUUUCCUUAAAGUUUAACUGCGCCAACUUUUUGGAUCAUUUACCGGAGCCAAUAAAAUCUCACAUCGCCUAUUUUUGAUCAUUUAUUUUCUGUUCUCAUAACUUGUUCGAUGAUCAUUCUCCCAAAACUGUUUUCAGAAUAUGAAUUCGUAACUAAUAUAUAAUUACUUUUUGUAAACAGAGGAAUGUGUGGUAAGUUAUUGUAU
Pocillopora verrucosa is the source of this 1500-nucleotide non-coding RNA. Lineage: Eukaryota; Metazoa; Cnidaria; Anthozoa; Scleractinia; Pocilloporidae. The record is from RefSeq and is a predicted model, not a curated record.